GGGGAUGCAUGACUCGACGGAAUUGGCACGUUAAGAACUGCAAGCCGACGUUGAUGUACCGUCGCAAAACAGACAUCAAAAUCAUAACUGCUGAUGCACAAUCAGAGUUAGCCGAUUACGCCCGUGAAUGGCAGAUGGCUUUUGCCGCAAGGCAAUUGCCGGCCUUCGCUGCGUAAAAAGCCGUCUUACACUUUAGUUUCCGCAGCGGCUUCGUAAGACGUCAACCUGAGUUGCGGUGCGUCCUUACCGGUCCCGGCGCUCCGGUACGGAUUAAGUCAAUCCGCCUUGGUUUUCCUUUUCCUGUCAAUCGGUUACAGGGAAAACGACAACUGUAGAUUGACUACGCUUGUAGACGUUUGCGAUAUGCUGUUCCGGAUCCGGGCUCACUACCCGGCAUCUCCACCA
Molecule: transfer-messenger RNA, 405 nt
Filed under: Patescibacteria group
Lineage: Bacteria
Also listed under: 1 other name
Description: RBG-16-52-11 sp001779095 Standard tmRNA
Rfam family: transfer-messenger RNA
About the family: Bacterial tmRNA, also known as 10Sa RNA or SsrA, is named for its dual tRNA and mRNA-like properties. Its role is to liberate the mRNA from a stalled ribosome.
Source: RNAcentral